GAUCCCUUAUAAUAAUAAAGAAAGUUAAGUUUCGCUCUUAGAAGUUUGUAUCUCGUGUGUGGUAGUAGUUAGGAUUUAAAGCCUAACUAGCUAUAUGCACGUAGUCGUAACUGAAAGGUUGAUCGACCACAGUGGGCCUGAAUAAAGCCCAUGAGGAUUGUCACAGCAGUGAGGAAUAUUGGUCAAUAGCCUAACGGCUGAACCAGCAACUUGGAGGAAUGUAUAGCAAUAGCUACUUGCAUCAUUGUAAAUAUGAUGCAAGAUCGACUAUGUCGAAUAAAAUUCUAGGUAGAAUUAUGAUAAUGACAUUGUCUGCCUAUGUGUCUUGACCAAAUUACGUGCCAGCAGUCGCGGUAAUACGUAGAAGACUAGUGUUAUUCAUGUUUAAUCGGUUUAAAGGGUACCUAGACGGUAAAUCAAGCCUAAAAGGAAAUAAAUGAAGGGACUAAUUUACUAGAGUUACUUAUGAGGGGGUAUUAAAGUACUGCUGGUGUAGAGAUGAAAUUCUGUCAUACCUCUUUUCAAUAGAAAAAUAACGGCACAGGUAUAGGCGAAAGCAUCCCCUUAUGUGAUAACUGACGUUGAGGGACGAAGGCUUUGUGUAGCGAACAGGAUUAGAUACCCCAGUAGUCAAAGCAGAAAAUGAUGAAUGUCAUAGAUUAGAUAUAUAAGUUUAUUCUAUAAAUGAAAGUGUAAGCAUUCCACCUCAAGAGUAAUUUGGCAACAUUGGAACUGAAAUCAUUAGACCGUUUCUGAAACCAGUAGUGAAGUAUGUUGUUUAAUUUGAUGAUCCGCAAAAAACCUUACCACAAUUUGAAUAUUUAUAUCUUUUAUUGUUUUUCUUUUUAACUUUCUUCUGAUUUUCUACUUAAAAGAAAACAAUAACAAGAAAAAAGAGGCAAUAAGAUAUAUUUACAAGCGUUGCACGGCUGUCUUCAGUUAAUGUCGCGAGACUCUGGUUAGUUCCAUUAAAUUAACGUAAACCCUUACUUUAUUUUUAUAUAGAGUAGUUCCCCGCUAUAUUGGAUAUGAUAAC
Molecule: ribosomal RNA, 1036 nt
Filed under: Nephromopsis ahtii
Lineage: Eukaryota; Fungi; Ascomycota; Lecanoromycetes; Lecanorales; Parmeliaceae
Description: SSU rRNA
Rfam family: Bacterial small subunit ribosomal RNA
Source: RNAcentral